GGCUCCAUAGUGUAGUGGUCAGCACGUCUGCUUUACACGCAGAAGGUCCUGGGUUUGCACCCCAGGUGGAGCCA
Non-coding RNA from Pteropus alecto (black flying fox), 74 nucleotides. Lineage: Eukaryota; Metazoa; Chordata; Mammalia; Chiroptera; Pteropodidae. The record is from Rfam.